RNAcentral lists this ribosomal RNA (253 nucleotides) under uncultured bacterium. RNAcentral describes it as "partial 16S ribosomal RNA". It matches the Rfam family "Bacterial small subunit ribosomal RNA", at positions 524 to 776 of the family's 1533-position model. The record is from RNAcentral.
GACGGGGGAUGCAAGCGUUAUCCGGAAUUAUUGGGCGUAAAGCGUCCGCAGGUGGACAUACAAGUCUGCUGUCAAAGUGCAGAGCUUAACUCUGUAAAGGCGGUGGAAACUGUAGGUCUUGAGUAUGGUAGGGGUAGAGGGAAUUCCCGGUGUAGCGGUGAAAUGCGUAGAUAUCGGGAAGAACACCAGUGGCGAAAGCGCUCUACUGGGCCAUAACUGACACUGAGGGACGAAAGCUAGGGGAGCGAAAGGG